Molecule: ribosomal RNA, 446 nt
Filed under: uncultured bacterium
Lineage: Bacteria
Description: partial 16S ribosomal RNA
Rfam family: Bacterial small subunit ribosomal RNA
Source: RNAcentral
CCUACGGGUGGCAGCAGUCGAGAAUCAUUCACAAUGGGCGAAACCCUGAUGGUGCGACGCCGCGUGGGGGAAUGAAGGUCUUCGGAUUGUAAACCCCUGUCAUGUGGGAGCAAAUUCAAAAGAGAGAACCACAAGACGCAGACACGAAGAACUCUGUGCCAGUAGCCGCGGUACUACAGAGGUACCAAGCGAUGUUAGGAAUCACUGGGCGUAAAGCGUGCGGAGGCGGUUUCGUAAGUCGAGUGUGAAAGGUGCGGGCUCAACCCGCGGACGGCACAUGAUACUGGGAGACUUGAGUGAUGGAGGGGUGAGCGGAAUUCUAGGUGGAGCAGUGAAAUGCGUAGAUAUCGGGAGGAACACUCGUGGCGAAGGCGGGUUCCUGGACAUUAACUGACGCUGAGGCACGAAGGCCAGGGGAGCGAAAGGGAUUAGAUACCCGAGUAGUC